UCUGGCUCCUGUGCGCUCGCUCGCUUUCUUUUUUCCCAGCCCCAUCACUUAUUCAUGGAACAGGUUCAACUCCCAGCACUGAUGUCUGGAAACGACUCGUGGACACAGAAGUGACAGUGGGUGGUUUCGAGAGUGGCCAGCGUGGAUAAUAGCAGCCGGGCAAUGGAGCAGCAUAACAAAAAGGAGAGCCAGAACAAAGCCCGACAAUUACAGUAAGAAAGAAUUCAUCGCUGUGGGGCAAGGUGGACAGCACAGAGCCACGCUCAUCUUACACGGCUCUCACACAGACUGGCAAAAGGCAUCCAGCCCAUCAGGAGCCUCUGAGAGGAAACAGGAUGGGGAAUUCCAAACAAAGAGACAGGCAAACAACGAGUUGCUGGCCGCUCCAUUAUGGCCUUGUUUGCUCCUUGUAUGCAGGAUCAUCCAUACAAUAAAAGCGAAAUUAAAAGUUCUCAGAUGUGCGGCACUGUUGGCACAUGCUGCUAGCGUACGCAUAUUCUCUCCGCCCCCGGAUGGAUUGAAGAUACCACCUUCACUUGGGAGUGAAGGCCAGAGAGGAGAAAACGUGAGGGGAUGCCUUCUGCCUAUCGGGAAGCGGCGUGCAGGCAUCAGCAUCAGAGACCAGGUACAGUUGGGCUGUAACCUCUCCAGCCGACCCCUCGUGACAAGACAGAUAGCUCCAUUCAUCUGCAGCUGAGCAGUAGCGCGGUGCUGCAUUUUUCACCCCCGGCCCAGGAUGGAUCUGCUCGCCAGGAGGAAUGUCACCAGCCUGAAUGCCCUGAUCUUUCACAAGUCCACCAUCUUCUCCAGAAUCACAGCACCGCACACAGUUCGAGAGCAACGGAGAAGAGUUAGAGACGAGCAGUCAGACGAUGACCAUUUACCAGAGAACAACAGAUCAUACAAAGCAUAUAAACAACAAUCUGCUUUUACACAUUUUACACAUUUCUCAAACCUAAAACGAGAGAACUGCUUCCAAUCAGUGACAAUGAUAGUAAAACAUAUUGUUGAAAAUGACUUCGCAUGCUGAUGCUAUAGAGCUCCAGUGAAGGACAGUAAAGUGAUGGAGAAUUUAUCGAGGCUGGUGUUAUCCCGUACUCUGCGCAAUGGCUUCCAUAUUGAUCACUGUUUACAGAUAUAAUCACUUUCAGAUUCAUUCUUCAUCAGUAUGGCCUCCUGUAUUGAUUUGGUUUUACUCAUGUCUCUCCAUAAAGGCUCUGCAUGAGUGUUAAACCCAGGGAUAGAAUGUGUGUGUGGCUCACAUUUAUGUAUGUGUGUGUGUUCAUUCAGGUUGUAAUUCUGUUAUGCUUUAUGAGAUAUCACUCUUUGUUUCUUUGUGAGUGAACAGUGCAGCACAAAGGUCUCCUCUGCAGGAAAUAAUCCCACUUGAGAAGAUAAAAUGUGAUGGAAAAAACAAGCAAUAGUAAUGUUAAGUACAAAAUGAUAACAAUCAGAACAUACAACUGAAUUGAACUGAACUGAGAGAUGCUUAUAAUGCACAUAGAUAUACUGUUUGGAGAGAGAAGUGAGUUACUUAUACAUGAGUGUUGUCUCUCUCUCUUUUUUUGCCUUUCUUCUUUUAUAACUCCCUUUCUUUCAUAUAGGGUAUGAGCUGUCCUCACUAUACUAAGCUGACCUACAUCUAUAUCAACAUCUACACUACCUUUCAAAAGUAUGGAGUUAGUAAGAUAAAAAAAAAAAAAAAAGAAUUUAAUACCUUUUCAGUAAGGAUGCAUUAAUUAAUAAUUGAUCAAAAGUGACAGUAAAGAGUUUUGCAUUGUUACAAAAAUGUUCUAUUUUAAAUCAAAUGUAUUCUUUGAACUUUAUAAUCAUCAACUAUAUCAGUUCAACAGAUUUCUACACCAAUAAUAAUAAUAAUAAAAAGUUUUUGAGCACCAAAUCAGCACAUUAGAAUGAUUUCUGAAGGAUCAUGUGACACUGACGACUGGAGUAACGGCUGGUGAAAAUUCAGCUUUGCCAUCACAGGAAUAAAUUAAAUUUUAAAAUAUAUUAAAGCAGUACUUUAAAUUGUAAUAAUAUCCCAAAACAUUACUGCUUUCACUGUCCUUUGAUCAAAU
This is a long non-coding RNA of Cyprinus carpio carpio, 2078 nucleotides long. Lineage: Eukaryota; Metazoa; Chordata; Actinopteri; Cypriniformes; Cyprinidae. The record is from Ensembl.